This 1428-nucleotide ribosomal RNA is filed under the name uncultured Neptuniibacter sp. RNAcentral describes it as "bacterial SSU rRNA". It matches the Rfam family "Bacterial small subunit ribosomal RNA". Lineage: Bacteria; Pseudomonadati; Pseudomonadota; Gammaproteobacteria; Oceanospirillales; Oceanospirillaceae. The record is from RNAcentral.
CCUGGCUCAGAUUGAACGCUGGCGGCAGGCCUAACACAUGCAAGUCGAGCGGUAACAGGACUAGCUUGCUAGUUGCUGACGAGCGGCGGACGGGUGAGUAACGCGUAGGAAUCUACCAAGUAGUGGGGGAUAAGCCAGAGAAAUUUGGUCUAAUACCGCAUACGUUCUUCGGAAGAAAGGAGGGGAUCUUCGGACCUUUCGCUAUUUGAUGAGCCGCGUGAGAUUAGCUUGUUGGUGAGGUAAUGGCUCACCAAGGCGACGAUCUCUAGCUGGUCUGAGAGGAUGAUCAGCCACACUGGGACUGAGACACGGCCCAGACUCUUACGGGAGGCAGCAGUGGGGAAUAUUGCACAAUGGGGGAAACCCUGAUGCAGCCAUGCCGCGUGUGUGAAGAAGGCCCUAGGGUUGUAAAGCACUUUCAGCAGUGAGGAAAGGGUGAUGGUUAAUACCCAUCAUCUGUGACGUUAACUGCAGAAGAAGCACCGGCUAACUCCGUGCCAGCAGCCGCGGUAAUACGGAGGGUGCGAGCGUUAAUCGGAAUUACUGGGCGUAAAGCGCGCGUAGGUGGAUUGGUCAGUCAGAUGUGAAAGCCCAGGGCUCAACCUUGGAACUGCACCUGAUACUGCCAGUCUAGAAUACGGUAGAGGGUAGUGGAAUUUCCUGUGUAGCGGUGAAAUGCGUAGAUAUAGGAAGGAACACCAGGUGGCGAAGGCGACUACCUGGACCGAUAUUGACACUGAGGUGCGAAAGCGUGGGGAGCAAACAAGAUUAGAUACCCUGGUAGUCCACGCCGUAAACGAUGUCUACUAGCCGUUGGGGGACUUGAUCUUUUAGUGGCGCAGCUAACGCGAUAAGUAGACCGCCUGGGGAGUACGGCCGCAAGGUUAAAACUCAAAUGAAUUGACGGGGGCCCGCACAAGCGGUGGAGCAUGUGGUUUAAUUCGAAGCAACGCGAAGAACCUUACCAACUCUUGACAUCCUGCGAACUUGCUAGAGAUAGCUUGGUGCCUUCGGGAGCGCAGAGACAGGUGCUGCAUGGCUGUCGUCAGCUCGUGUUGUGAAAUGUUGGGUUAAGUCUCGUAACGAGCGCAACCCUUGUCCUUAUUUGCCAGCACUUCGGGUGGGAACUCUAAGGAGACUGCCGGUGACAAACCGGAGGAAGGUGGGGACGACGUCAAGUCAUCAUGGCCCUUACGAGUUGGGCUACACACGUGCUACAAUGGCCGGUACAGAGGGCUGCGAACCUGCGAGGGUAAGCUAAUCUCAGAAAACCGGUCGUAGUCCGGAUUGGAGUCUGCAACUCGACUCCAUGAAGUCGGAAUCGCUAGUAAUCGCGAAUCAGAAUGUCGCGGUGAAUACGUUCCCGGGCCUUGUACACACCGCCCGUCACACCAUGGGAGUGGAUUGCACCAGAAGUAGCUAGCUUAA